AAAUCACAGAAUCACAGCAUGGUUUGGGUUGCAAGGGACCUUAGAGAUCACUUAGUUCCAACCCCCUGCCAUGGGCAGGGACACCUUCCACCAGACCAGGCUGCUCAAAGCCCCGUCCAACCUGGCCUUGAACACUGCCAGGGAGGGGGCAGCCACAGC
This is a long non-coding RNA of Athene cunicularia (burrowing owl), 159 nucleotides long. RefSeq lists it as uncharacterized. Lineage: Eukaryota; Metazoa; Chordata; Aves; Strigiformes; Strigidae. The record is from RefSeq and is a predicted model, not a curated record. The transcript has 3 exons.